Molecule: ribosomal RNA, 251 nt
Filed under: uncultured prokaryote
Description: partial 16S rRNA
Rfam family: Bacterial small subunit ribosomal RNA
Source: RNAcentral
ACGUAGGGAGCGAGCGUUGUCCGGAAUUACUGGGCGUAAAGGGCGCGUAGGCGGGUAAUUAAGUCAGAUGUGAAAGCUCCGGGCUCAACUUGGAGAGUGCAUUUGAAACUGGUUAUCUUGAGGGCAGGAGAGGAAAGUGGAAUUCCUAGUGUGCGUGUUGAAUGCUGGUAUAUGAGUAGGAGCGGCAGAGGCGAUGGAGACAUUCUGAACUACACCUGACGCUUAAGCGCGUGAUCAUGUGGAGGAAACGG